RNAcentral lists this ribosomal RNA (253 nucleotides) under uncultured prokaryote. RNAcentral's name for it is "partial 16S ribosomal RNA". It matches the Rfam family "Bacterial small subunit ribosomal RNA", at positions 525 to 777 of the family's 1533-position model. The record is from RNAcentral.
ACGAAGGGUGCAAGCGUUAAUCGGAAUUACUGGGCGUAAAGGGUGCGUAGGCGGUUCGUUAAGUCUGUCGUGAAAUCCCCGGGCUCAACCUGGGAAUUGCAUUGGAUACUGGCAGGCUAGAGGGCGGGAGAGGAGCGCGGAAUUCCCGGUGUAGCGGUGAAAUGCGUAGAGAUCGGGAGGAAGGCCGGUGGCGAAGGCGGCGCUCUGGAACGUACCUGACGCUGAGACACGAAAGCGUGGGGAGCAAACAGGA